This is a long non-coding RNA of Pseudomyrmex gracilis, 1438 nucleotides long. RefSeq lists it as uncharacterized. The record is from RefSeq and is a predicted model, not a curated record. The transcript is spliced from 4 exons. NCBI's taxonomy places the organism in Eukaryota, Metazoa, Arthropoda, Insecta, Hymenoptera, Formicidae.
GCGCCCGCGACGUUCGGACGUGUCAGACGAUAGAGAGAAGAGAGAGAUCUGUCAUCCGUGCGCGGUGAAUCUCUCCGGGUGAUUUUUUUUUUUUCCGGAUCGGAACGCGACGAAGUAGCGACUAAGUAAAAUAAAAACGGGCGUCGCGUGCAGACGGAAGAACGUGAACAAAGACACCGGACGUGUCGUGUGAGUAUCUAUUUACUGCAGUAGUGCGUCGAAUGUGAGCGCGAGAUUCCGCGACGCGCGAAGACAAAGAUAACAAAAAACAAAGGUAGAGAGAGACCACAACACGCAUCGAUAUUAUUUUUUAUGUGUAAUUCGUUAUCUUUUCGUUCGUAUAUUGAAAACGCCGCGUGAUAUACGUUGUCUUACCGGGACAACCGGACGAGAGAGUGACCGGACGCAAUAAGAGAAAGAGAGAAGAGAGGAGUGUGAAGACAGUGCACAUAAAGUGGGACUCCCCGUUUUCUCUCUUUCUUUCUCACACUCUCUUUCUCUCUCUCUUGGAGAUUCGUAAUCAGUCGCGCGCGAGUCUCGUAUUACCCGUGGCGCGGAGCCGAAGAUCGCCCCUCAAAGGUCUUCCUUCUUUGUGACGCGUGAACUUAGCGAGCCAAUCCUGCCGUCGCCGCCACCGUGUGACAAACAAUCGCCGCUCGUGCGACAACGUUCGUGACACAUACAUUGAAGAAUUAUACGAAGAAUAUGUACGUUGUAUGAGACACGUUCCUUCUCCUCGCCCCCGCGUCAGUCGGUCGCACGCGUAACGGUGUCUCGUCGGAGCGUAUCUAGCGUGAGGAAACGCGAGGAGCAUGAAGUUGUUCGCGAAAUAGCGACGUUCGGAAAUAGGGGGAAGAGAAGAGGGAGAAAGAAAAAGAGACUCCGCUCUGUGUGUUUCGCGCGACCGGACGACGCAACGCGCGCGAGACGUGACACGACGCGACGCGAUUCGACCCGACGUUCCCUUUUCGGUUUUCAUCGGCCGGCGUGUGGAGAGUCUCUCGCAGAGUGAGUGAGAAAGAGAGAAAGAGAGAGAGAAAGAGAGAGCGGAGCCAGCGGUCGUCCGUCCGGCGAUGCCCGACAACGAGCCCUCGUGAAAUCGCGGAAGGUGACACGGCGCGUUUGUGCGUUGCAGGAGUAAACGGCCCGACGACCUCGCGGAAGCAAGGAGAGUGGGAAGAGAGAACCCACCGACGAGUGUGCCGCUACGAGUUCUGCUGAACAAAGUGAACCCUCCCCGAGUGAACCAAGGAUCACAACCGAUCUCACCAUCGAUCUUGCUGCGUCACUGGAUAUGUCGCGAUGGGGUUCGAGAUAGAAAAUAGGUGCGAUGGAGUCUCGUGGAGUCGGCUUCUACUAUGAGUUGAGGCUUCGUAAUUAAUCAGGACUGGCAUGGAGAAGGAGAACUCCGCAUCGGGCGGAGGCGGCGGAGGCGGCG